CAGUCGCCGCGGUAAUACGUAGGGUGCGAGCGUUAAUCGGAAUUACUGGGCGUAAAGCGUGCGCAGGCGGUUUUGUAAGACAGGCGUGAAAUCCCCGGGCCCAACCUGGGAAUGGCGCUUGUGACUGCAAAGCUAGAGUGCGGCAGAGGGGGAUGGAAUUCCGCGUGUAGCAGUGAAAUGCGUAGAUAUGCGGAGGAACACCGAUGGCGAAGGCAAUCCCCUGGGCCUGCACUGACGCUCAUGCACGAAAGCGUGGGGAGCAAACAGGAUUAGAUACCCCGGUAGUCCCUGUCUCUUAUAU
This 301-nucleotide ribosomal RNA is filed under the name uncultured bacterium. Its description in RNAcentral is "partial 16S ribosomal RNA". It matches the Rfam family "Bacterial small subunit ribosomal RNA", at positions 509 to 809 of the family's 1533-position model. The record is from RNAcentral.